This is a non-coding RNA of Schistosoma rodhaini, 45 nucleotides long. The record is from Rfam. NCBI's taxonomy places the organism in Eukaryota, Metazoa, Platyhelminthes, Trematoda, Strigeidida, Schistosomatidae.
AUUCAGCUGACGAGUCCCGAAUAGGACGAAACGCGUGUACUGGAU